AGACGUCUACAUUAGAUACCCCUGUAGUCCCAGCCGUAAACUAUGCGCGUUAGGUGUAUCGGUGACCACGAGUUACCGAGGUGCCGAAGGGAAACCGUGAAACGUGCCGCCUGGGAAGUACGGUCGCAAGGCUGAAACUUAAAGGAAUUGGCGGGGAGCACCACAACAGGUGGAGCCUGCGGUUUAAUUGGACUCAACGCCGGAAGCUCACCGGAUAGGACAGCAGAAUGAUUGCCGGGCUGAAGACCCUGCAUGACUAGCUG
RNAcentral lists this ribosomal RNA (263 nucleotides) under uncultured archaeon. RNAcentral describes it as "partial 16S ribosomal RNA". It matches the Rfam family "Archaeal small subunit ribosomal RNA", at positions 714 to 982 of the family's 1478-position model. The record is from RNAcentral.